AUUUUUGUUGGCCUGUCUUCUUUUUUUUCUUCUGUAUCCUCCAAGUGCGCAAUUUAAUCAGAUACAUGACUGCAGUUGCAUCUAAAAAAAAAAAAA
RNAcentral lists this non-coding RNA (96 nucleotides) under Erythrolobus madagascarensis. Lineage: Eukaryota; Rhodophyta; Bangiophyceae; Porphyridiales; Porphyridiaceae. The record is from RNAcentral.